GCCGCGCCCUCUGGCGGCUGCGCCCGGAGCAGCGCAAACUCCGCGCAGCGCAAACCCCGCGCACCGCUCCCUCCGCGCUUCCGCGGCGGGACUCGAGGAACUUCAGGUAUGAAGAAUUUAGAAGCACCAUCCCGAAUCAAAAAUCGCCGUAAAACUUUAAAUGCACAUCGCUCUAAGUGUUUCGUGCUGUAGGGUGCGAAAAGUUCUCUUUUUAUGCCUGUCCAGUGGAAGAGAGGCUAUCGCCCUCAUGUAAAUUCAGCGCUGUAGAAUAUCAGCUGUGACACAAAAUAUGGAGGGAAAUGGGCUACUAUCUGCUUACUGCAGCUGUUGAGGCAGUCUAGGGCAUCAGCUUCGCUCAGGGACAAUCAGUCUUACUAUAGCAAGGGGCAAAGUCAAGCUAUUGCUCAGUUACAGACAGGCUAGUCUUCAAAAAAAUUAAAAUGAAGCCUUUAAUUUAGCUUGUGAAUCCGACAUUAAAUGCCAAACUUUUCAUUUUGUUUCACUUGUCCUCCUGUAUUCAAGGCGGUGGCUAAGAAAUGUGCAGAGCACAGGUAAGUCAGGCAAUAAGCAAAGCAAGCCCUCCAGCAGAACGAGUACUCUCCCACUGCCUCCACCCUGAAGAGCCCGUCCCAGCAGCAGGAUCUUCCCCGAUGCCCCCACUGAGAGAUGCAGAGGAGAAGCACCACCUCCAGCGUUUCAAGGCCUGGUGCCCAACUGCGACUGCCACUGCGUGGGAGAGUGGAAGACCCAGGCAGCAAGACCAUAUAUGUUCAGUCUACUCAUAUUUGUGGAUAAAAUGAAAAGAGCAGCUGUGACAGGAAAACUAAAGGCUCGACUACCCUUCCUCCAGACAGCUCCUGGGAAGGCUUAUGAAGACAGCACAGCACGGGGGGCCUGCAGAACCACGCCAACAGCCUCAGACACAGCAAUUGCCAGACAACUGGCGUCUAAAUUCAACAAUAUUUAUAAUCUUCCAUCUAAUGGCUGGUUCUCACCAUGGAGAACCCCAGGGAUAGUAACCUGCUGGUAAGCCCACACUUCAGUGCUGGUAUUCAGUCUAGGCUUCAGUGACUAUCUAUCUAAAUCUCUGGAGAUGUGCCUACCCUGGCAGGAGUGGAUAAGCAUAUGUAUGCAUAUAUCGCACAGCCCUUCAGCUUCAGGGAAACUAUUAGUACAGCUUAUUCAAGUUCCAGCUAAAGUUUCUCAGUUCCUGGUGUAAGAAAGCUGUGACCACCACAGUACUAGUUAUUACAGAAGCUCUCUCACUGGAAGUUAUUAAGAGGAAACAGGACCAAGUAUUUCUGCAAUUCAAGCACUGACAGGGCAGAGAGGCAACAUUACAAACAUUGUAUUUUAAGGAUAUAAUAUGUGGAAUUCUCUCCGCUGCUCUCUACCACUUUUAUGAUGCAACUGUUUAUAGCAAAGUAGGGACAGUAGGGACUGCUUAAUCAGGACAGUCUAAUGUAUGGGCAAUUAUCCAAGGCCACGUAUUUUCUAAAUUCUGUAUGGGCAGAGAUGGAGCUUAAGAGCUCUGUAGGGAUCAGAGCUGCUAACGAACUUCUAAGGAGGGCUCUGGAGACUGGGUUGUGCAUAAUGAGAAAAUCUGGAUAUUCAGUGCGAAGAACUCUCCCAAUUUAGCUGCAGUCUAUGUAAAUUAAAUUUGUAUUUAAUGCUUAUCACUACACAGUCCACUUUAGCACUGGGAUAAACUGGGUAGCCUGUGACUUUUCUCUUUUUUGUUACGAAUGUGGCUGAAAGUGGUUCAGAAAGGGGAGACCUGGAAACCUUGGCCAAGCACAUUGUUGGGAAGGACUAUUAUGUAGACAAAUUUUCCUAUCAACUCCCACCUCUUCAGACUACAGCAUCAUGCUUGCAGGCUACGUGCUUAUUUAUUCCCAUGUGUUACAUUUGGACAUCAUAGGCAUAUAGUGUGCAUAUAUAUACACAUGUAAGUUUGUGUGUGUAUAUAUACACACACACACACAUUUAUAAU
RNAcentral lists this long non-coding RNA (1993 nucleotides) under Athene cunicularia (burrowing owl). RNAcentral's name for it is "lncRNA (ENSACUG00000009925.1)". The record is from RNAcentral. Lineage: Eukaryota; Metazoa; Chordata; Aves; Strigiformes; Strigidae.